UUCCCUAGUUUUUUUUUCUCUCAUUGGAUUGAAUCUGCAAAGAAAUCUACUGUGUUUUCUUUUUUAAUGGAUUUAAAAAACCCUAGUGUUUUGAACAUUUUACUGCAGUGGGGGUAGUCCAUUUUGUGUGUUGUUUGGUUCAAGAAAUAUGAUUUGAUGUGAUGUUUUUGGGUAGAAAUGUAGAUUAUGUACGGUAAUAAUGAUAAUUUGUUUUCCAGAAUUGGAAAUUUUCUCCGUAUUGCAUUCAGUUUUUGCAGAUAGGCAUGGAUUCAUUAAGGAUUGGUCAACUCAUGAAUGAAGAGUCUGUUUUGAUAAAUCUAAUCUUGCAGUUGCAGAUUUUGCUCAAGGUACCUUAGCUGAAUAUACAAAGCAUAUGGAAAUGAUCUCUGAAGUUCGUAAUAUAUUGUUUAACAAGGAUCGGAUUACCGGCAUCAAAUGAAGUCGCUACUUGGAAAGCUAUAGCAAAAGAACAGUGGAAACAUUAGAUUUUAUAUUGUAUGUAGUAAUCUCUGGCAACUUUUUUGAGGAGAUGGAGAAGGAAAAUCUGUGUUUAUCCAGAAUAGUGUCAAGCUAGUGUGGUGAGUUUAUUUUUUGGAAGAGAUGCGAUAGUUAUAAGGCUGUAGCGGGAGACGGAGCAAGAUAAAUAAAUAGACGGGGAGAUUGCUAAGACUUGGAUAUGUUGAAUCAAUUUCAGAAAUCAUCAGUCCACCAUGCUCGCCGGAAAUUUAACUAUGUGAUCGAAUAUUUGUAAUUUUCUUCAUGCACAUCUUAGUAAUGUGGUAACUUCCUUUCAAUAUAUCUUAGAUUUGGUUUCAACAAAAUAACUGCAUGGCAGUUUAACUUGGAUGUUUAAUCGAUACUCUUGAUGUUAUGUUA
Mercurialis annua (annual mercury) is the source of this 876-nucleotide long non-coding RNA. RefSeq lists it as uncharacterized. The record is from RefSeq and is a predicted model, not a curated record. Lineage: Eukaryota; Viridiplantae; Streptophyta; Magnoliopsida; Malpighiales; Euphorbiaceae. The transcript has 3 exons.